Molecule: ribosomal RNA, 339 nt
Filed under: Metagonia delicata
Lineage: Eukaryota; Metazoa; Arthropoda; Arachnida; Araneae; Pholcidae
Description: partial 16S ribosomal RNA
Rfam family: Bacterial large subunit ribosomal RNA (bases 51-339)
Source: RNAcentral
GAAGGGAGAAACGAAAUAUCACUGUACCUAAAUAAUUAAUUAACUUAAUAUUCUCGUAAAAAUUCAAGAAUAAAGAAAUAAGACGACAAGACCCCGACAAACUCAUAGCAUUUAGUUGGGGAAACAUAGUAAAAAAACUUUACAAAACCACCACAUAUCUAAUAAAAUUUAAAUUGACAAGUUACUGCGGGGAUAACAGCGCUAUCCUUCUCAAGAGCUCCCAUCUCAAGAAGGGCUUACGACCUCGAUGUUGAAUUAGUUAAACUACUACCAACGCACAAGUUUAGAAAGUAAGUCUGUUCGACUAUUAACUAACUACGUGAUCUGAGUUCAGACCGG